UUUUUUUUCAUUCUCCCCUCCCUCUCUCUCCGGUAUUUUUUUCCUCCUCCCCCUGUGUCCGCCCACAGCCCUCCCUCCCUCGUGGCGCCGCCCUCUGCCCAUUCCUCCUCCCGCGCCCUCCCAUGGCGGCGGCGCCCUAGCAGCUCCAUCCUCCUCCCCUCCCUUCAGCCUCUCAGAUCCACUCGGGCGGCGCAGCCCUCCUGCAGGGAAUUUUUUUCCCGGCGCAGCCAGUCGUCGCAGCACCCUCCCACCCCAACGGUGCUGAGGGCGAGCUCCGACGGGCGGGUGCCGGGGCCAAGUUCCAGCGGCGCGCCCAAGGGCGGGCGUUGAGGGCGAGCUUCGGGCGGGUGCCGGGGUCAAGCUCCGGCGGCGCACCCAAGGGCGGGCGUUGACGACGAGCUCCGACGGGCAGGUGCUGGGGUCAAGCUCCGGCGGCGCGCCCAAGGGUCGUGCAGUCUGUUAAGAUCCAGCAGGUGUGCCCCCGGCGGCUUCAGCUGCGGCCUCUCCUUGGGACUGCGAGGGCUCAAGGCCUGCGGGUGUGCAGGUGCUCUCACCCUCCGCGUCAGGCAGCACGCGAGGCUCCGAGAAUGGAGAUCUCCUCUUCUGGAUCUAGCGCCCCACCCUCAACGAGUCCAGAUGUAGUAGUGGAUUUAUGAGUUCUGAAGAUCAAUUCAGGCUAUGGUUGUGCUGGGACCAACGUCCUUGGAGGGGGCUUUGGCCAUAUUGCUAAACCUUUUGCAAGUUCUUCUCCGGCUAGCUACAUCAAAUAUCUGUGGAUCUUCUUCAAGCCUCAAAGGUUAAUAACUCAAUUCUCCCGCGCCCUCCGCCCAUGUGUGGGAUUAGUAAUGUUUACUGUUCAACUGCCAUGUUUGCAAGCAGCACCUAGUGUUUUUGCGUGUAAUAGGACCAAAUGCCUUGUCCAAAGUAGAGUUUGCUCAGGCGUGUAACUAAGUGGACUUCCCCUGUUAUUGAACAGCUGAUGCGCUGGUGUCGACAGGACUGGCUGAAUUGGGCUACAACUAUUUAAAUAUUGGUAUACCACUUGGCUCAAUUCAGCAGAUUGUUGCAUCAAGGCAAGGGACUUUUGUCUAGAAAAAAAUAAUCAUACUCUUGUUUAUUGCUCGCUUCCACAAUGAUGCAAUAUUAUUAUAUGAAAAUAUUUUUUUU
Panicum virgatum (switchgrass) is the source of this 1167-nucleotide long non-coding RNA. RefSeq lists it as uncharacterized. The record is from RefSeq and is a predicted model, not a curated record. Lineage: Eukaryota; Viridiplantae; Streptophyta; Magnoliopsida; Poales; Poaceae. The transcript has 3 exons.